AGAAACCAUUGCCGUACAUCAUAUCAGUACCAUCAAUGCCCAUAGGUGCCACUCUUCAAGAAAGUGCACCAAUGGCAGUGACAGAAGACAGCGGUCAAAUAGACAAAGGCAGAGGUGCAGAUAGCAUUGAAAAUCUUCUAGUUCAACAGAAUCAGCUCCUCAGUGAAAUACUCCAACAACAAAAAAUUACUAAUGAGUUAAUGAUAAAUUUCUACACUUUGAAGGCAUAAAUAUAUGACAUGAAUACUUUAU
Long non-coding RNA from Mya arenaria, 252 nucleotides. RefSeq lists it as uncharacterized. The record is from RefSeq and is a predicted model, not a curated record. The transcript is spliced from 3 exons. Lineage: Eukaryota; Metazoa; Mollusca; Bivalvia; Myida; Myidae.